RNAcentral lists this ribosomal RNA (399 nucleotides) under uncultured bacterium. RNAcentral describes it as "bacterial SSU rRNA". It matches the Rfam family "Bacterial small subunit ribosomal RNA", at positions 974 to 1368 of the family's 1533-position model. The record is from RNAcentral.
CCCAGGCUUGACAUCCCGAGAACUUCUGAGAAAUCAGUCGGUGCUCUCUCACGAGGGAGCUCGGUGACAGGUGCUGCAUGGCUGUCGUCAGCUCGUGCUGUGAGGUGUUCGGUUAAGUCCGGCAACGAGCGCAACCCCUGUCGUUAGUUACCAGCAUUCAGUUGGGUACUCUAACGAGACUGCCGGUGACAAACCGGAGGAAGGUGGGGACGACGUCAAGUCCUCAUGGCCCUUAUGUCUGGGGCUACAUACGUGCUACAAUGGCGUCUACAAAGGGCAGCGAUGCCGUGAGGUGGAGCAAAUCCCAUAAAAGACGCCUCAGUUCGGAUUGGAGUCUGCAACUCGACUCCAUGAAGGUGGAAUCGCUAGUAAUCGCGGAUCAGCAUGCCGCGGUGAAUA